GAUGAACGCUGGCGGCGUGCCUAAUACAUGCAAGUCGAGCGAACGGACGAGAAGCUUGCUUCUCUGAUGUUAGCGGCGGACGGGUGAGUAACACGUGGAUAACCUACCUAUAAGACUGGGAUAACUUCGGGAAACCGGAGCUAAUACCGGAUGAUAUUUUGAACCGCAUGGUUCAAAAGUGAAAGACGGUCUUGCUGUCACUUAUAGAUGGAUCCGCGCUGCAUUAGCUAGUUGGUAAGGUAACGGCUUACCAAGGCAACGAUGCAUAGCCGACCUGAGAGGGUGUUCGGCCACACGGGAACUGAGACACGGUCCAGACCCCUACGGGAGGCAGCAGUAGGGAAUCGUCCGCAAUGGGCGAAAGCCUGACGGAGCAACGCCGCGUGAGUGAUGAAGGUCUUCGGAUCGUAAAACGCUGUUAUUAGGGAAGAACAUAUGUGUAAGUAACUGUGCACAUCUGGACGGUACCUAAUCAGAAAGCCACGGCUAACUACGU
This 496-nucleotide ribosomal RNA is filed under the name uncultured bacterium. RNAcentral's name for it is "partial 16S ribosomal RNA". It matches the Rfam family "Bacterial small subunit ribosomal RNA", at positions 28 to 506 of the family's 1533-position model. The record is from RNAcentral.